CCUAGUAACGGCGAGUGAACCGGGAAGAGCUCAAAUUUGAAAUCUGGCAGUCUUCGAUUGUCCGAGUUGUAAUCUAUAGAAGCGUUUUCCGUGCUGAACUGUGUAUAAGUCCCUUGGAACAGGGUAUCAAAGAGGGUGACAAUCCCGUACUUUACACAAUCAUCAGUGCUCUGUGAUACGUUCUCUACGAGUCGAGUUGUUUGGGAAUGCAGCUCAAAAUGGGUGGUAAAUUCCAUCUAAAGCUAAAUAUUGGCGAGAGACCGAUAGCGAACAAGUACCGUGAGGGAAAGAUGAAAAGCACUUUGGAAAGAGAGUUAAACAGUACGUGAAAUUGUUGAAAGGGAAACGAAAUUCAUGAAUCAUGUUUAUUGGACUCAGCCGUUCUUCGGUGUACUUCCUUUAAACGGGUCAACAUCAGUUUUGUCCGAUGGAUAAAGGUAGUAGGAAGGUGGCUCUCUCGGGAGUGUUAUAGCCUAUUGCUGCAUACAUUGGAUGAGACUGAGGACUGCAGCUUGCCUUUAUGGCCGGGGUUCGCCCACGUUCAAGCUUAGGAUGUUGACAUAUUCUCGAA
RNAcentral lists this ribosomal RNA (571 nucleotides) under Apiotrichum porosum. Its description in RNAcentral is "eukaryotic LSU rRNA". It matches the Rfam family "Eukaryotic large subunit ribosomal RNA", at positions 79 to 641 of the family's 3401-position model. Lineage: Eukaryota; Fungi; Basidiomycota; Tremellomycetes; Trichosporonales; Trichosporonaceae. The record is from RNAcentral.